This 74-nucleotide transfer RNA is filed under the name Merluccius polli (Benguela hake). RNAcentral's name for it is "tRNA-Asp". It matches the Rfam family "tRNA". Rfam says of the family: Transfer RNA (tRNA) molecules are approximately 80 nucleotides in length. Their secondary structure includes four short double-helical elements and three loops (D, anti-codon, and T loops). Lineage: Eukaryota; Metazoa; Chordata; Actinopteri; Gadiformes; Merlucciidae. The record is from RNAcentral.
UCCUCGUUAGUAUAGGUGGCCAGGUAUCCCCGCCUGUCACGCGGGACACCGGGGUUCAAUUCCCCGACGGGGAG